UUCUGGCUACUGAGUCCGGUGAUGGCCACGGCAGGUUUGUUUCCAAGGUUUAUCUGAAAGUGGAUGAGACCGAUAGGGAAGACGAAAACAUCACCCUUUUUGAGAAUUUUGGAGAUUAAUCGGUUUUCUGUGUUGGAGGUGACAAAUCCCACUCCUAAUGUCCCCUCGAGUACAGUGAGGAGCUCGGUUGCACGAGGGUGUGUGUGAGGAGGAUUCAAGCCACCGGGUUGAAAGUCGAUGCGAACUAGGGAAAUUCCAAGAGUAUUAAGACCAGGGAUCUGUUCGACAUUCACUGGUGUAACAAUUGACCCGACUCGGCUUUUGCUAUUACCUGCUUUGUCCAGACCAGAGAAGAAGAAGUCUUUCUCACUCACUUGUUUUGGGUUCUUGCAGACUAAUCCAUUCACAAACACUGCAUGCGUAUUAAAAUUCACAGAAUAGAUGAGAAGACAAUAUAUAUAUAUAUGUUAAUAAAUAAAUAAAAUUUGUUCACAACUUCACAUAUAUAUACUUAAUUCUUACCCUUGGAUGCAUGAUCAGCAACACAGAAAUCUUGAAGAGGGCUUGGAUCAGAUGCCAUGGCUGAAGAAGCAAUAGCCAUUGCCAUAGCAAACAACAAAAAGACAAGUUUGGAAUCCAU
RNAcentral lists this long non-coding RNA (640 nucleotides) under Zostera marina. RNAcentral's name for it is "long non-coding RNA (ZMAR_LNC000847)". Lineage: Eukaryota; Viridiplantae; Streptophyta; Magnoliopsida; Alismatales; Zosteraceae. The record is from RNAcentral.